This 1491-nucleotide long non-coding RNA is filed under the name Anas platyrhynchos platyrhynchos (common mallard). RNAcentral describes it as "lncRNA (ENSAPLG00000030745.1)". Lineage: Eukaryota; Metazoa; Chordata; Aves; Anseriformes; Anatidae. The record is from RNAcentral.
CGGGGUGCCCCAUAAGUCCUGGGAAAAUUUGGCGGUUUCGGGGCUCCCCAUAGAUCCAGGAGACACCGGUGGUUUCGAGGUGCCCCAUAGGUCCACAGAGAAAUUGGGGGUUUCAAGGCACCCCAUAGGUCCAGGAGACACUGGCAGUUUUGGGGUGCCCCAUAGGCCCACAGAGAAAUUGGUGGUUUCAAGGCACCCCCAUAGAUCCAGGAGACACCGGUGGUUUCGGGGUACCCCAUAGGUCCACAGAGAAAUUGGGGGUUUCAAGGCACCCCAUAGAUCCAGGAGACACUGUCGGUUUCGAGGCACCCCGUAGGUCUAUCAUGGUUUUGGGGUACCCCAUAGAUCUUUGAAUGUAUUGGCGGUUUCGGGGCUCCCCAUAGGUCCAUGGAGAAAUUGGGGGUUUCAAGGCACCCCCAUAGGUCCAGGAGACACCGGUGGUUUCGGGGUACCCCAUAGGUCCACAGAGAAAUUGGGGGUUUCAAGGCACCCCAUAGGUCCAGGGAGAAGUUGGCAGUUUCGGGGUGCCCCAUAAUUCCUGGGAAAAGACGGUUUCGGGGCUCCCCAUAAUUCCUGGGAAAAGUUGACGGUUUCGGGGCUCCCCAUAGAUCCAGGAGACACCGGUGGUUUCGGGGUACCCCAUAGGUCCACAGAGAAAUUGGGGGUUUCAAGGCACCCCAUAGGUCCAGGGAGAAGUUGGCGGUUUCGGGGCGCCCCAUAAUUCCUGGGAAAAGUUGGCGGUUUCGGGGCUCCCCAUAGAUCCAGGAGACACUGUCGGUUUCGAGGUGCCCCAUAGGUCUAUCAUGGUUUUGGGGUACCCCAUAGAUCUUUGGCUGUAUUGGGGGUUUCGAGGCUCCCCAUAGGUCCAUGGGGACACUGGCAGUUUCGGGGUGCCCCAUAAGUCCUGGGAAAAGUUGACGGUUUCGGGGCGCCCCAUAAUUCCUGGGAAAAGUUGACGGUUUCGGGGCUCCCCAUAGGUCCGGGGAGAAGUUGACAGUUUCGGGGCUCCCCAUAGAUCCAGGAGACACUGGCAGUUUCGGGGUACCCCAUAGGUCCAUAGAGAAAUUGGUGGUUUCAAGGCACCCCAUAGAUCGAGGAGACACCGGUGGUUUCGAGGUGCCCCAUAAGUCCGUGGAGAAGUUGGUGGUUUCGAGGCACCCCAUAGGUCUAUCAUGGUUUUGGGGUACCCCAUAGAUCUUUGAAUGUAUUGUCGGUUUCGGGGCUCCCCAUAGGUCCAUAGAGAAAUUGGGGGUUUCAAGGCACCCCAUAGAUCCAGGAGACACUGGCGGUUUCAGGGCACCCCAAAAUUCCUAAAUACCAUUUUUGGGGCCCAGUCCUAACUAACAUUUUUUGAGGCACCCCAAAACACCUGAUUGGCGGUUUCAAGACCCCCCAAAAUCCCCAAAUGAUGGUUUCAAGGCACCUCAAAGUUCCUAAUUGGCAGUUUCAGGGCACCCCAAAAGUCCUAAAUACCAUUUUUGGGGCCCAGUC